Molecule: non-coding RNA, 884 nt
Filed under: Microcanthus strigatus (stripey)
Lineage: Eukaryota; Metazoa; Chordata; Actinopteri; Centrarchiformes; Kyphosidae
Description: partial 12S ribosomal RNA
Rfam family: Bacterial small subunit ribosomal RNA
Source: RNAcentral
ACUAUCAGCUCUAACCAAACUUACACAUGCAAGUAUCCGCGCCCCAGUGAGGAUGCCCUACAGUUCCCCGCCCGGGAACAAGGAACUGGUAUCAGGCACAUUUUAUUAUAGCCCACGACGCCUUGCUUAGCCACACCCCCAAGGGAAUCCAGCAGUGAUAGACAUUAAGCUAUGAGUGAAAACUCGACUUAGUCAAGGUUAAGAGGGCCGGUAAAACUCGUGCCAGCCACCGCGGUUAUACGAGAGACCCAAGUUGAUAGACUACGGCGUAAAGAGUGGUUAAGAUAAACUUUAAACUAAAGCCGAACGCCCUCAAAGCUGUUAUACGCCUUCGAGGGUAAGAAGCCCAAUCACGAAAGUGGCUUUAACACUUCUGAACCCACGAAAGCUAUGACACAAACUGGGAUUAGAUACCCCACUAUGCCUAGCCUUAAACCUUGAUAGUACUGCACACCUACUAUCCGCCUGGGAACUACGAGCACCAGCUUAAAACCCAAAGGACUUGGCGGUGCUUUAGAUCCACCUAGAGGAGCCUGUUCUAGAACCGAUAACCCCCGUUCAACCUCACCCUUCCUUGUUUAACCCGCCUAUAUACCGCCGUCGUCAGCCUACCCUGUGAAGGACCCAUAGUAAGCAAAAUUGGCACAACCCAGAACGUCAGGUCGAGGUGUAGCGUAUGGUAGGGGAAGAAAUGGGCUACAUUCACUAGUACAGUGAAUACGAAUGAUUGUACUGAAACGUAUAUCUAAAGGAGGAUUUAGCAGUAAGCAGAAAAUAGAGUGUUCCGCUGAAAUUGGCUCUGAAGCGCGCACACACCGCCCGUCACUCUCCCUAAUUAUAAAAAUCUCAUAUAACUAAGACCCCAAAGUCACAGAGGGGAGGCA